GUGGUUGGGACCGUCCCCUCACAGCCGUCCCGCCCCGCCGCCGCCGCGCUGCGCCCAUGGUGAUUGUGCUGCAUCCCCCGCGCGCCGAGCGGGGCGAGCUGCCCGCGCCUCCCCGCCGGGGCGCCCAGGUGUUGGUGUCUUCAGAGUCAUUUAGGCGUUUAGUUCUGAGGAAGUAGAGACACAAGGAUUGAGUCUAUUUUAUGUAGAAAGCUACAGCUCUUCAUCAGUACUCUUUUUACUCCUUCCUAUCCCUCCUAUAGGGGAGGACAAUUUGGGAAUUAUUUUAACAGUCAUUUACUCCCCUUCCCCCCUCACAAUUCUACCCUAGUCCCCGAGGCAUCCGCUAGACAUUGCCUGUUAUAGGACCAGGAGAACGUUCUCAUCAUCAUCAUCAUCAUCAUCCCUUGCUUGCUUUGAGAGCUUCAGUAGUACCCUUCCCUCCUUUGGAGUGUAGUGCAGAGAGGCAUCCAGAAGACUUCCUUGCCACCCUUUUUGGUUAGUAGAGGAUCCAGGAAAAGGGGUACCUAGCAAGACACGUGACCUCCUUAAGGGAGCCAGAACUGAAGCAGCACUUAGCACGCUGAAGGAAACACCCAUCUUUAGUGUCUUUUUCGUCUUCCACUCCUUCCUCACCAAAUUUCUGCAGUUCCAUUGAAGGGAAACCUUGAAGGUUGCAAGACAAGUCCAAGAUGUGCAGUUCUGUUGCUCCCAGGCUGUGGUUCUUAACAGACCGUCGCAUCAGAGAAGAUUACCCUCAGCAGGAGAUCCUGAGAGCACUGAAGGCCAAAUGCUGUGAAGAGGAGCUGGAUUUCCGGGCCUUGGUGAUGGAUGAAGUGGUGCUGACCAUUGAGGAUGGAAAUCUUGAUUCCAUGGUGCAAAACUUCAGCAUGUGGCGUGACUUUAAAGCGAAACAACAAAAUAGACUGAGAGAUUAUGAAUUGGAAAAUUAUGUCGUUUUGGUUCACAGCACAGAGACGGUGGCAAUUUUGGGAUUGUGUCUGCGGGUGAAAGGGGAGCUUGUUACUUCUUACCCACAAGUGGUGGUUGUGCGUGUGCCAACACCUUGGGUCCAGAGUGACAGCGAUAUCACAGUCCUUCGCCACCUAGAGAAGAUGGGCUGUCGACUGAUGAACCGUCCCCAAGCCAUCCUCAACUGUGUCAACAAGUUCUGGACGUUUCAAGAACUUGCUGGUCAUGGUGUGCCUCUUCCAGACACUUUUUCGUAUGGUGGUCAUGAGAAUUUUUCCAAAAUGAUUGAUGAGGCGGAAGUGCUGGAGUUCCCUAUGGUGGUGAAGAACACGCGGGGUCAUCGAGGUAAAGCUGUGUUCCUGGCACGAGACAAGCACCAUUUGGCCGACCUAAGCCAUUUGAUCCGUCAUGAUGCCCCUUACUUAUUUCAAAAAUAUGUUAAAGAGUCCCAUGGCAAGGAUGUACGUGUCAUCGUAGUAGGAGGCCGUGUGGUGGGCACCAUGCUCCGCUGCUCAACAGAUGGGAGGAUGCAGAGUAACUGCUCACUUGGUGGUGUAGGAAUGAUGUGCUCACUGAGUGAACAAGGCAAGCAGUUGGCAGUCCAAGUGUCAAACAUCCUGGGGAUGGAUGUGUGCGGCAUUGACCUGCUGAUGAAGGACGACGGUUCAUUCUACGUCUGCGAGGCCAAUGCAAAUGAGCCAAAAAAGUCAAACAAUCCAGAGAAAACCCCUUCUCCCCUUUCCGAUGGCAAGAGUGAGAACUUAUGAAAAAUCCUUGAGAAUGUUCCUUCCUAAACUUUUCCCCCCAGUAAUGCAAGCGGGUAAAAUGGUAAACGCAGCAGUUUGGUGACAUCCAAAACCGACCUGUUGUCAGGUAAAUUGAGACUUUUCUGCUCUUACUGUAACCUUCAUAAAUUUGCUAACUUGUCUGCCUUCCUUUCUUCCCAUCAGUUCAUUUUGGUGAAACUUGUUGAAUGAUUUCUUUAACUGUGAUGUUUAGAGAAAAUCCUACUUUUCUUCCUCGAUUUCCCUCCUUAUGCUUGUUGACCUUUAAAAACUGUCAUUGUCCUUUGCUUUACUCAGGUAAGACAGAAGUGAGUCCCCUCAUGUGACUGUGUGAGGAAUAGUUUUGUAAUACAUUCAUUCCACUUCUUUGUCAGUUCAAGGUAGUUUGCCUUCAAGUGUACUAUUUUAGCUUAGAUUUUUGAAAGGCAUGUUGCUUUCCAUUUACCAAAUGAACAUAAAAUAUAACUGCAUCAAUUAGGAGUUGAUAGAUAUGAAAAACUAGUGCUAAGAACGUUAAAUCUAUUAAAUUUCAGUAGAGCAGGAUCCGGUAAAGAGGGCAGAUGGAAGAAUACGUGUGCUGAAGAAAAAGACUGUUGGGUUGAUUAUUUCUGUUUGUGGAGGAUGGGGGAUAUAUUUUAUGUUGUCCUUACUGCUGUAUCAAAGCACUUGUACAUUUUAUCCUUCUCUGGUAACUCAACUCCCUGAAUCUCAAACCACGUAAAACUGCUGGGUACUUAAUAUUCUUUUACUUCUUUUAAGGAGGAUAAUCUUGUAUUUUACUCAGAUGUAAAUAUCAGACAAUUGGAAUACCAUUCCAAGUUGAAGAAUAUGAGCCUACAGACAGGCUUCCAAGUUUCCAAAUGCAGUUUUCUAUUUCCCAUGACAUCUGUAAGGAAUUAGCACUUGUUUCAGAUUAUUUUUCUGUGUAUGCUAAUAACUCCUCUAUACUGUAAUAAAAUAGUCUACUUUUCGUAGUCUCAAUUUAUAUUUUCCUGAUACACAGUAAAUUUAUCAGCAAUACCAUAAACUGCAGCUUCAAAUUAAGGUGGGAGGGAAUAAUUUUAUAGCCAAAUUUUGCUCUCAAUUACACUGAGAUAAACCUGGAAUCACUCUGUGAAAGUCAGUGGAGUGAUAUCCAAUUUCACUGGUAUAAUUGAGUGUAUAAUUUGUGUCUUUAAUUUUACUUGCAAGAUAAUUUUACAAACCUGUUAUACUUAUGUUUCCAAUGCUUUUUCCUUUCAGACACACCCACUUCUUGCGUCUCAGCACUGGGCAGGCCUAUUCCUUUAUUUGUGUAUAUUUUUGUGCAUCAACUGCUAUAGGACACGGGUGUAACACUUUCAGGCAUGUGGUUGGGUGUCUUUUUGGGGUUUGUAAUAAUGUCUAAAUAUAAGAAUUUCUUUUCCUCAAAUUUAUUAAUGAAUUCAUGUUGGAUCACAGUUUUGCAUCUCUAACCUGAUUUUAGAUAAAUAUUAAGUAGAGAUUGUCUUGAAAGAAAUACAGAUCUUUGGUGGGGAGAGUUGAUAAAAAUGUACUGCAUUCUGCAGAAAUUAAUGUUUUGGUAUUUAAUGUUUCUUGAAAGGUGGUUUUACAGAUCAUGCUCCUUCCUCUUCAUGGAAUGGCUUUCAAAGCCUUGUAUUGAUCUUGGUUUUGCCCAGUGCUUUGCCUAGUGUAUGGGGAAAUGUUGUAGAACUUGAAUAGGCCAUGACAUCUUAGACAAAGGAUGAUGAUUAUGUGCAUGCUGAACACGAACUUCUUCUAUAUGCCCUUCUGCUGCAACAGAAUAAUAAAACUGGUAGGUGGCAGCAGCAGCAGCAGAAGAAACUCAUGACUGUGACCUGAGAAACCUCCAGUACUGGGAGAAAUGGAUUGCAAAAUACUAACUGGAGUAAGGGGAAUGGAGGAGAAAGGCAGAGUCCCUGAACUGUCCCUUUGAAUGCCUUAUGGGUUGUCUUGAAUCCCUCCCUGGGGAAGGUGCACUCCCCUUUAUGGACCACUGAUCCAGACAUCAUAAAAUACUUACUGUUGCAGCUGUCAUUAGUAUGUUCCACCAUAACAAUACCUCCAUUUCGAGAGUCUAAUGCGUGUGAAAGAUGCUGGAUCACCAGUUGCAGAGAUUGAACUCUACCUACUGGAAAGGUUUUUCUGCAGCAACAGGAGGUCGUCUUUUGCCUCUUAUGGGGACAUUUAGCCUUUUGAUAAUGCCUCCAUCACAACGAAGGGAAGAAAGGAUGGACCAGCAAUGAUGUGGAAUGGAGUGAUGUCCACACAUGGCAUUAACAGUCAUUAUGAUCCCUGUCCUAAUUACAUGGAGAACUGAAUAAAGAGUUGAAUUGUAA
This is an RNA transcript of Pseudopipra pipra, 4093 nucleotides long. It is a transcript of the gene named ribosomal modification protein rimK like family member B, with no coding region annotated. The record is from RefSeq and is a predicted model, not a curated record. NCBI's taxonomy places the organism in Eukaryota, Metazoa, Chordata, Aves, Passeriformes, Pipridae. The transcript has 12 exons.